GGAGAGUUGGUCGAGAUGGUCGAAGGCGCUCGCCUGGAAAGUGAGUAUACGUCAAAAACGUAUCAUGGGUUCGAAUCCCAUACUCUCCGCCA
This 92-nucleotide transfer RNA is filed under the name Romboutsia ilealis. RNAcentral describes it as "tRNA-Ser". It matches the Rfam family "tRNA". Rfam says of the family: Transfer RNA (tRNA) molecules are approximately 80 nucleotides in length. Their secondary structure includes four short double-helical elements and three loops (D, anti-codon, and T loops). The record is from RNAcentral. RNAcentral also lists the same sequence under 3 other names. Lineage: Bacteria; Bacillati; Bacillota; Clostridia; Peptostreptococcales; Peptostreptococcaceae.